AGGAUGAACGCUGGCGGCGUGCUUAACACAUGCAAGUCGAACGAUGAAGGCUGGAGCUUGCUCUGGCUGGAUUAGUGGCGAACGGGUGAGUAACACGUGAGUAACCUGCCCCAGACUCUGGGAUAAGCGC
RNAcentral lists this ribosomal RNA (130 nucleotides) under uncultured soil bacterium. RNAcentral describes it as "partial 16S ribosomal RNA". It matches the Rfam family "Bacterial small subunit ribosomal RNA", at positions 26 to 150 of the family's 1533-position model. The record is from RNAcentral.